GCCAAGCUUGCUUGGUGGAUCAGUGGCGAACGGGUGAGUAACACGUGAGCAACCUGCCCUGGACUCUGGGAUAAGCGCUGGAAACGGCGUCUAAUACUGGAUAUGAGCUCUCAUCGCAUGGUGGGGGUUGGAAAGAUUUUUCGGUUUGGGAUGGGCUCGCGGCCUAUCAGCUUGUUGGUGAGGUAAUGGCUCACCAAGGCGUCGACGGGUAGCCGGCCUGAGAGGGUGACCGGCCACACUGGGACUGAGACACGGCCCAGACUCCUACGGGAGGCAGCAGUGGGGAAUAUUGCACAAUGGGCGCAAGCCUGAUGCAGCAACGCCGCGUGAGGGAUGACGGCCUUCGGGUUGUAAACCUCUUUUGGUAGGGAAGAAGCCUUCGGGUGACGGUACCUGCAGAAAAAGCGCCGGCUAACUACGUGCCAGCAGCCGCGGUAAUACGUAGGGCGCAAGCGUUAUCCGGAAUUAUUGGGCGUAAAGAGCUCGUAGGCGGUCUGUCGCGUCUGCUGUGAAAUUCCGAGGCUCAACCUCGGGCUUGCAGUGGGUACGGGCAGACUAGAGUGCGGUAGGGGAGAUUGGAAUUCCUGGUGUAGCGGUGGAAUGCGCAGAUAUCAGGAGGAACACCGAUGGCGAAGGCAGAUCUCUGGGCCGUUACUGACGCUGAGGAGCGAAAGGGUGGGGAGCAAACAGGCUUAGAUACCCUGGUAGUCCACCCCGUAAACGUUGGGAACUAGUUGUGGGGUCCUUUCCACGGAUUCCGUGACGUAGCUACGCAUUAAGUUCCCCGCCU
Molecule: ribosomal RNA, 790 nt
Filed under: Microbacteriaceae bacterium GUDS1289
Lineage: Bacteria; Bacillati; Actinomycetota; Actinomycetes; Micrococcales; Microbacteriaceae
Description: bacterial SSU rRNA
Rfam family: Bacterial small subunit ribosomal RNA
Source: RNAcentral